Non-coding RNA from Ixodes scapularis (black-legged tick), 73 nucleotides. NCBI's taxonomy places the organism in Eukaryota, Metazoa, Arthropoda, Arachnida, Ixodida, Ixodidae. The record is from Rfam.
CCCUGGUUAUCUCAGUUGGUAGAGCGCUCCGCUGGGAAUGGAGAGGUGCCUGGUUCGAUACCCGGACCAGGCA